AUUGAACGCUGGCGGCAUGCCUUACACAUGCAAGUCGAACGGCAGCACGGGUGCUUGCACCUGGUGGCGAGUGGCGAACGGGUGAGUAAUACAUCGGAACAUGUCCUGUAGUGGGGGAUAGCCCUGCGAAAGCCGGAGUAAUACCGCAUACGAUCUACGGAGGAAAGCGGGGGGCCUUCGGGCCUCGCGCUGAAGGGGUGGCCGAUGGCUGUUUAGCUAGUUGUGGGGGUAAAGGCCUACCAAGGCGACGAUCAGUAGCUGGUGUGAGAGGACGACCAGCCACACUGGGACUGAGACACGGCCCAGACUCCUACGGGAGGCAGCAGUGGGGAAUUUUGGACAAUGGGCGAAAGCCUGAUCCAGCAAUGCCGCGUGUGUGAAGAAGGCCUUCGGGUUGUAAAGCACUUUUGUCCGGAAAGAAAUCCUUGGCCCUAAUACGGUCGGGGGAUGACGGUACCGGAAGAAUAAGCACCGGCUAACUACGUG
Molecule: ribosomal RNA, 486 nt
Filed under: uncultured bacterium
Lineage: Bacteria
Description: partial 16S ribosomal RNA
Rfam family: Bacterial small subunit ribosomal RNA
Source: RNAcentral